This is a long non-coding RNA of Magnolia sinica, 806 nucleotides long. RefSeq lists it as uncharacterized. The record is from RefSeq and is a predicted model, not a curated record. NCBI's taxonomy places the organism in Eukaryota, Viridiplantae, Streptophyta, Magnoliopsida, Magnoliales, Magnoliaceae. The transcript is spliced from 3 exons.
UUUUAUUUCUAUUGAAGUCUCCACUUUUAUCUCCAAAUAAUAUUUCUUGGAGAUUGGCGUGAAGGGUGAAGAUUUUCUGUUUCCUUCUCAUAUCAAAAGGAAUCCUUUGCAGUGCUCUCGACAGAAAUUCAUUCCCACAUGAAUUCCAAUUUGGUUUCAGUACAUCUGCAUUUUAGGUGGAAGGAGCAGCUCUUGAAGAUGGGAGGGGUGUAAGCAUCGGGGAUACUUUCUGUUCUCUUCCUGGGAAGAUAUUGGGUGGAGGAAAUAGAGAUGUAGCAGCUGAUGUAUAUCAUCGAUACAAGGUUUUUGCACUUUAUUUGAAUUUGAAGGGACACGAAUUUCCUAUUUGGGGCCCACUGUGAUGUCUAUGUGGCAUCCACUCCGUUAAUGAUCACAAGAAUUACAAUGUGGUAUUGAAUUUGUUGAGUUGCUAGAGGAUGACCCAAAUUCAAAGGCUAAAGUCUCAAUGUAUACAGAUGUAUUCGAGCAAACCCCUCAUGAACAUGCCCGGUCCAAGAAUCAAGUUCCACUCAUCGGGUGGGACGUGGAUGUAUGAGAAAAGUGAAUCAAGUGCCACUUGAAGAGUGUUCCAAAUCCCUCUCACAGGCGCUACAUUUAGUUGCAGAAGGGGCACAUCACAUCCAUGGUUCUUGAGUCGGCUAUGGUGCUGCUGGAUUUCUUAGGGAUGUCUUUCGAGUCAAUGAUAAGAGAUUGGAUUCUACUAUUUUUGGUUAGAUGUCUCUGGGUUGUAAGUCUGCCCAUCAUUUUCUUUCCUGUUCUUCUUUAGCUCUUUUUUUUUUUUUUUU